Molecule: ribosomal RNA, 253 nt
Filed under: uncultured bacterium
Lineage: Bacteria
Description: partial 16S ribosomal RNA
Rfam family: Bacterial small subunit ribosomal RNA
Source: RNAcentral
UACGUAGGGUGCGAGCGUUGUCCGGAAUUAUUGGGCGUAAAGGGCUCGUAGGCGGUCUGUUGCGUCGGGAGUGAAAACUCAGGGCUUAACCCUGAGCCUGCUUCCGAUACGGGCAGACUAGAGGUAUGCAGGGGAGAACGGAAUUCCUGGUGUAGCGGUGAAAUGCGCAGAUAUCAGGAGGAACACCGGUGGCGAAGGCGGUUCUCUGGGAAUGUCCUGACGCUGAGGAGCGAAAGCCAGGGGAGCAAACGGG